Molecule: ribosomal RNA, 423 nt
Filed under: uncultured archaeon
Lineage: Archaea
Description: partial 16S ribosomal RNA
Rfam family: Archaeal small subunit ribosomal RNA
Source: RNAcentral
CUACGGGAGGCAGCAGUCUAGAAACUUCUACAAUGCACGUAAGUGUGAUAGAGCAAGCCAGAGUGCUUUUCCGUAUUGGAAAAGCUUUUGUGAGAUGUAAAAAGUCUCACGAAUAAGGACUGGGCAAGACUAGUGCCAGCCGCCGCGGUAAUACUAGCGGUCCAAGUCGCAAUCAUGUUUAUUGGGUCUAAAACAUCCGUAGCUUGUUUCGUAAGUCUCUUGUGAAAUCCUGCCUCUUAAGGGUAGAAGUGCAAGAGAUACUGCGAGGCUAGAGACCGGGAGACGCAAGGAGUACGGACGGGGUAGCGGUAAAAUGUGUUGAUCCUGUCUGGACUAACGAUAGCGAAGGCACCUUGCGAGAACGGAUCUGACAGUGAGGGAUGAAGGCUAGGGGCGCAAAACGGAUUAGAUACCCGCAUAGUC